Molecule: small RNA, 29 nt
Filed under: Bombyx mori (domestic silkworm)
Lineage: Eukaryota; Metazoa; Arthropoda; Insecta; Lepidoptera; Bombycidae
Description: ovarian small RNA-26040
Source: RNAcentral
UCAUCAUGUACGAAUAUAGAUGUUGAAGA